AUGCACUCUUUAAGGCAAAUUCAGUCUCGGGGCCCUCAGGCCAGAGUGGGGCAGCAAAGCACCUAUGGAGCUGACUACAAGCCCCCCAGUGAUCGGCACCUCAGGCUGUUCAGGCUGCAUGCAGAGCCGUCUUGCACCACACACCAGAAGUUGGCGGAUAUGUGGGCUCAGUACUACAGACAGUGUUUCCAGACCAUUACCAACGGCCCACAGAACCCCGCCUUUGCCUUCCCUCAGAAGGGGAGACCAGUGAGGGCAGCUACGUUGGACAGUGAGAGUUUCAGUAAGAUCCAAGUGGAAAGGACAGCUCCUCCAGAGAAGGGGCAGAGCCAGAUACCACCACAGCGUUCGAGCUCCGACUCUGGGGAACGAAGGUCGGUCUCUCCCUCUCUCUCCUUAACCUCAGUCCAUAACUCCCUCCCAUCCCGCCCUGCAAGGAAAGAGGCAUGGACACAUGCAACAGGGGACCCGGCACUGGGGGUCACAACGACACCCAAGGACAUGGUGGAGCUGCCUCACAUCGGCAGUGGAGAAGGAAGUGAUGGGGAGCUCCCGCUGCAGGUGGAGCGGUUAAGGGCGGAGCAGUUCCGUCGGGACAUGACCCACUCAUCUAGGCUGGAAGGCCAGAUCAACCAGCGCAUAGCCACCCAGUCUAACCUCAUGCACCUAGGGCUGCCAUUCAACGGUGUGACCACCUACAGCCAGAGUUACACACACUGGGACAACUCCUCCACACUGAGAGGCCCGCAGUGCAUCCUUCCUGAAGCCACACUCAACUGGAGGGCCUGGGUGUCAGAGUACCAGGACCGGUACCAGGGCCCGGAUCGCUACGUCCCUGGGCAGAGGAAGCCCCCUAGCGGCCUGAAGGAGCCCUGCACCGCCGAGUACCAGCCUGGUGCCCACACCGCAGACCAGACCCGAGGACACAUCUGCUCAGAGUAUCAGAGGCACUUCACUAAGAAGGUAAUAUCCCAAACGGAACCAUAUUCUCUUCGUGGUGCACUACUUUUGACCAGGGCCUUAUGGUGCACUUAG
Molecule: long non-coding RNA, 1035 nt
Filed under: Oncorhynchus kisutch (coho salmon)
Lineage: Eukaryota; Metazoa; Chordata; Actinopteri; Salmoniformes; Salmonidae
Description: lncRNA (ENSOKIG00005021319.1)
Source: RNAcentral